RNAcentral lists this non-coding RNA (19 nucleotides) under Mus musculus (house mouse). Lineage: Eukaryota; Metazoa; Chordata; Mammalia; Rodentia; Muridae. The record is from RNAcentral.
UCCACGACCAGGUAGCCGG